RNAcentral lists this unclassified non-coding RNA (1508 nucleotides) under Hevea brasiliensis (rubber tree). The record is from RNAcentral. Lineage: Eukaryota; Viridiplantae; Streptophyta; Magnoliopsida; Malpighiales; Euphorbiaceae.
CAACUUAUUAGAGUAUGAUAAGAUAGAAUGUUUCACGUUACCUUUUAACAAUACAUCAUAUGAUAAUACAUCUACCUUACAUAAAAAAGAUUAACAUAGCCAAUUCUACAACCCACAACAUGUUCAUUCUGUAUGUACAAAACUAGAGUGAUUGUGUUCAUUUUCUGUAUGUACAAAACUAGAGUUCAUAAGCAGGGAACCUUGUUUCUAUUGGAUCUAUCAUGUCGAAAAAGAGAUAAGCCAUUCCUCCCAUUCCUUCAAACAACGAGUAUGGACGAUCACCUCCAUGCAUAACUCCCUCUGAUAUGAGUGUUUGAGCUCUAGUGUGCAGAAAGCACGCGAAGGCCUUUGCCUUGUACAAGUACUCAACUUUACCUGUCAAACGAUACAGUGAAAGAAAGACAUAGGAAUUUCCACUAACACCGUGACAUAUUCCAACUCGUUUGAGUAAGCCUCGAUUCCAAAUCACCUCAGCUGCUUCUAUAGCUGCCUGCAGAAACUCGUCAUUGCUGAAAACCUUAGCUGCUUUGAUUAGAGUAAGGGCAACACCUGGAGCACCAUGACACCAAUGCACAAGUCGGUCAGAUUCACUUCCUUCACUUGAGGGGUAAUUUCCACUAGGAAAACGAUUUCGGAUCAUGUAAUGCAGUGUAGCCUUCACAUCCUCGACCUCAUCUGCUUUCAGUUCCAUGUCCAUAAGUACAUGCAUUAUCCCAGCUAGUCCAUGAGCAGCACCCCAGUAUCUUUUUCCAUGCCAUUCAUACAUCAGUGGACAUUUUCCUUUCCCCAUUUUUCGUCCGGACUUUAUAACCUCAGCAACAACUGCUCGAAUUUGGGUUGGAGAUAUUGUUUCUCUACCAAUAUUUUUGUUUAAGAAUGAACAAGCCCACAAGAAACCAGCCCUCCCAUACAACAACUCAUUUGGAAGAUCUUUAGGAAGCUCAAUCUCUUUGAAUUUCGUCAGAUAGUGAUCACACAAUUGUUCAUCCCCGCUCUGUUUGGCCACAACUGCACCAAGAGAAUAAACACCAGCUUGUCCACAUAUGAAAGUCACACGCCCAGAACCACGGGAAGCAGAGUCACAAGCCUUGAUAAUAUCAGAACAGAGAGCAAGAUCAUUCUUGUCAAGAGUAACUUGGUAAGCUUUAAAUAACAAAAAAGCAGUUCCUAAAGCUCCAGUGUAAAUUGUAUAGUCACUCACUCUUCCCCUUUUACAUACCCAUGUCUCCUUCACAAUCGUUUCUUUGAGAUCAAAAGCAACCCUUUUGAGCUUGUCGCAAACAGUACCAUAAGGCAAAUACAGAAGCUCUAACAAUGGAUCUUUUGCUCCUUCAAGAAAUGAUUCUUUAACUGUAGUUUCAUCAACAAAACUAGGCAUGGUGUUUGGAAAGAAACGAUCUGGCAUCUCUUUAUUUCCGGUUCUGUUGAAUCCUCCGCCGGAACAAAUUUAUGGAAAGAACAGAGCUCCGGUGGUUCUCAGAAGACAGAACAGAGCAAGUCUAUCCGGG